GAGUUUGAUCAUGGCUCAGGAUGAACGCUAGCGGCAGGCCUAAUACAUGCAAGUCGAGGGGCAGCAUUCACUUCGGUGAGAUGGCGACCGGCGCACGGGUGCGUAACGCGUAUGCAACCUACCUUGUACAGGGGGAUAGCCCGGAGAAAUUCGGAUUAAUACCCCGUGGUAUUAUGAUACGGCAUCGUAUAAUGAUUAAAGAUUUAUCGGUACAAGAUGGGCAUGCGUGACAUUAGCUAGUUGGUACGGUAAUGGCGUACCAAGGCGAUGAUGUCUAGGGGUUCUGAGAGGAUGAUCCCCCACACUGGUACUGAGAUACGGACCAGACUCCUACGGGAGGCAGCAGUAGGGAAUAUUGGUCAAUGGGCGGAAGCCUGAACCAGCCAUGCCGCGUGCAGGAAGACGGCCUUCUGGGUUGUAAACUGCUUUUACCAGGGAACAAAUAGGCCAUGCGUGGCAAGUUGAGUGUACCUGGGGAAUAAGCACCGGCUAACUCCGUGCCAGCAGCCGCGGUAAUACGGAGGGUGCAAGCGUUGUCCGGAUUUAUUGGGUUUAAAGGGUGCGUAGGCGGUUUAUUAAGUCAGUGGUGAAAGCCCCCAGCUCAACUGGGGAACUGCCAUUGAAACUGGUAGACUUGAGUACAGACGAGGUAGGCGGAAUUUAUGGUGUAGCGGUGAAAUG
Molecule: ribosomal RNA, 681 nt
Filed under: uncultured bacterium
Lineage: Bacteria
Description: bacterial SSU rRNA
Rfam family: Bacterial small subunit ribosomal RNA
Source: RNAcentral